Molecule: ribosomal RNA, 309 nt
Filed under: uncultured Planctomycetota bacterium
Lineage: Bacteria; Pseudomonadati; Planctomycetota
Description: bacterial SSU rRNA
Rfam family: Bacterial small subunit ribosomal RNA
Source: RNAcentral
AAUGAACGUUGGCGGCGUGGAUUAGGCAUGCAAGUCGUGCGGAAAGGCCCCGCAAGGGGUACUCGAGCGGCGAAAGGGAUAGUAACACGUAGGUACCUACCCUCAGGACCGGGAUAGCUACGGGAAACUGUAGGUAAUACCGGAUAAUGUUUCCGAACCAAAGGUGUGAUUCCGCCUGAGGAGGGGCCUGCGUCCUAUUAGCUAGUUGGUGAGGUGACGGCCCACCAAGGCUGAGAUGGGGUAGCGGGUGUGAGAGCAUGACCCGCAUCAUUGGGACUGAGACACUGCCCAGACACCUACGGGUGGCAG